Long non-coding RNA from Xiphias gladius (swordfish), 297 nucleotides. RefSeq lists it as uncharacterized. The record is from RefSeq and is a predicted model, not a curated record. The transcript is spliced from 3 exons. Lineage: Eukaryota; Metazoa; Chordata; Actinopteri; Istiophoriformes; Xiphiidae.
CAAUUUCGUGGCCAGGUGUGGCCCCCUCGUUAUUUCAUGGCAAACUGCAUACUGCUUUUGAACAUUGGGGACAGGAGCACACACGUAUGCAUUCUUCAUGCAAGUUUCAGGAGCUAAGGUGAUUUCAAACCUCGAGUCAAAAACAAAAAGGACAAACUUCAUUUGGAAAAAUACACCUUCACACCAGAUUUGACUGGUACAUCUCAAAGGCUAGUGUCAUGUCCCAUCUACACUACGGUGCAUUGUACUACACCUGCACUUUCUUGUAGAGGUACACAGAACCAGAUAUGUCACCAC